UACGGGGGGGGUAAGCGUUGUUCGGAAUUACUGGGCGUAAAGGGCUCGUAGGCGGCCAACUAAGUCAGCCGUGAAAUCCCUCGGCUUAACCGGGGAACUGCGUCUGAUACUGGAUGGCUUGAGUUUGGGAGAGGGAUGCGGAAUUCCAGGUGUAGCGGUGAAAUGCGUAGAUAUCUGGAGGAACACCGGUGGCGAAGGCGGCAUCCUGGACCAACACUGACACUGAGGAGCGAAAGCCAGGGGAGCAAACGGG
This 253-nucleotide ribosomal RNA is filed under the name uncultured bacterium. RNAcentral describes it as "partial 16S ribosomal RNA". It matches the Rfam family "Bacterial small subunit ribosomal RNA", at positions 524 to 776 of the family's 1533-position model. The record is from RNAcentral.